Molecule: small nuclear RNA, 107 nt
Filed under: Vicugna pacos (alpaca)
Lineage: Eukaryota; Metazoa; Chordata; Mammalia; Artiodactyla; Camelidae
Source: RNAcentral
CUGCUCAACUUUGGCAGCACAUUUACCAAAAUUGGACUGAGACGGAGAAGAUGAACGUGGCCCCUGCCCAGGAAGACGGGCGAAUUCCUGCGGCUUUCCUCUCCUGC